This is a small nuclear RNA of Oryctolagus cuniculus (rabbit), 89 nucleotides long. Its record names the gene U2. It matches the Rfam family "U2 spliceosomal RNA". Rfam says of the family: U2 is a small nuclear RNA (snRNA) component of the spliceosome (involved in pre-mRNA splicing). NCBI's taxonomy places the organism in Eukaryota, Metazoa, Chordata, Mammalia, Lagomorpha, Leporidae. The record is from Ensembl.
AUGUCUUCUCAGCCUUUUGGCUAAGAUCAAGUGUAGUAAAAGUUCAGUGAAAUGAAGAGAUUUUUUUUAAAAUAUACCAAAGAAUUUUC